AAAGCAUUAAGUAUUCCACCUGGGGAGUACGCCGGCAACGGUGAAACUCAAAGGAAUUGACGGGGGCCCGCACAAGCGGAGGAACAUGUGGUUUAAUUCGAUGAUACGCGAGGAACCUUACCCGGGCUUGAAUUGCAGAGGAACAUAGUUGAAAGAUUAUGGCCGCAAGGUCUCUGUGAAGGUGCUGCAUGGUUGUCGUCAGCUCGUGCCGUGAGGUGUCGGCUUAAGUGCCAUAACGAGCGCAACCCUUAUCAUUAGUUACUAACAGGUGAUGCUGAGGACUCUAGUGAGACUGCCGUCGUAAGAUGUGAGGAAGGUGGGGAUGACGUCAAAUCAGCACGGCCCUUACGUCCGGGGCUACGCACGUGUUACAAUGGGGGGUACAGAGGGCAGCUACCGGGCGACCGGAUGCCAAUCCCAAAAACCUCUCUCAGUUCGGAUCGAAGUCUGCAACCCGACUUCGUGAAGCUGGAUUCGCUAGUAAUCGCGCAUCAGCCACGGCGCGGUGAAUACGUUCCCGGGCCUUGUACACACCGCCCGUCAAGCCAUGGGAGCCGGGGGUACCUGAAGUACGUAACCGCAAGGAGCGUCCUAGGGUAAAACUGGUGACUGGGGCUAAGUCGUAACAAGGUAACC
Molecule: ribosomal RNA, 636 nt
Filed under: uncultured bacterium
Lineage: Bacteria
Description: bacterial SSU rRNA
Rfam family: Bacterial small subunit ribosomal RNA
Source: RNAcentral